UACGUAGGUGGCAAGCGUUGUCCGGAAUUAUUGGGCGUAAAGCGCGCGCAGGCGGUCCGGUAAGUCUGCUGUGAAAGCCCACGGCUCAACCGUGGAGGGUCAUUGGAAACUGGAGGACUUGAGGACAGAAGAGGAAAGUGGAAUUCCACGUGUAGCGGUGAAAUGCGUAAAGAUGUGGAGGAACACCAGUGGCGAAGGGGACUUUCUGGUCUGUAACUGACGCUGAGGCGCGAAAGCGUGGGGAGCAAACAGG
RNAcentral lists this unclassified non-coding RNA (253 nucleotides) under uncultured Caryophanaceae bacterium. RNAcentral's name for it is "uncultured Planococcaceae bacterium contains 16S-23S intergenic spacer region". It matches the Rfam family "Bacterial small subunit ribosomal RNA", at positions 524 to 776 of the family's 1533-position model. The record is from RNAcentral. Lineage: Bacteria; Bacillati; Bacillota; Bacilli; Caryophanales; Caryophanaceae.